Molecule: transfer RNA, 76 nt
Filed under: Maridesulfovibrio ferrireducens
Lineage: Bacteria; Pseudomonadati; Thermodesulfobacteriota; Desulfovibrionia; Desulfovibrionales; Desulfovibrionaceae
Description: tRNA-Thr
Rfam family: tRNA
About the family: Transfer RNA (tRNA) molecules are approximately 80 nucleotides in length. Their secondary structure includes four short double-helical elements and three loops (D, anti-codon, and T loops).
Source: RNAcentral
GCCAACGUAGCUCAGUUGGUAGAGCAACUGAUUCGUAAUCAGUAGGUCGUCAGUUCAAUUCUGAUCGUUGGCUCCA